UAUAAGUCAGAUGCUGACACUAAAAAACAUCAGUUCCAUUCCAAUCCACAAUAAUGCAGAUCUUCUCACUUGUUACCAUCUUUGUGUUUGUUCUUUUGACUCUGGCCAGCGCACAUGAAUGGCCCGCUACGGCUGGAAGUGGAAAUAUCCUUAUGGUAUAUUGCCUUGGUUGCAUAAAUCAAGGGCAUGUUAAUUAACCUGUUCAAAAUGAACGUGAUCCGAAAGGACAAAAUCAGAAUUAUAACGGAUUUUAUAAAUAUAUGAGCAUUUAAAUAAAUGUUUUAUUUACAUUCUUAAUCACUUUCAAUGUGUUCGGAGUAACAUCGAAAAGUUUAGAAUUAUUUAAGAUUUGCGACAAUUUAAACUUGCCUUUGUUAUUGUGUACAAACAAAUAAAUAAAAUACAUUCUCAAGCGAUAACCUGACUGGGAA
This is a long non-coding RNA of Drosophila innubila, 431 nucleotides long. RefSeq lists it as uncharacterized. The record is from RefSeq and is a predicted model, not a curated record. The transcript is spliced from 2 exons. Lineage: Eukaryota; Metazoa; Arthropoda; Insecta; Diptera; Drosophilidae.